UACGGGGGGGGUAAGCGUUGUUCGGAAUUACUGGGCGUAAAGGGCUCGUAGGCGGCCAACUAAGUCGGACGUGAAAUCCCUCAGCUUAACUGGGGAACUGCGUCCGAUACUGGAUGGCUUGGAUUUGGGAGAGGGAUGCGGAAUUCCAGGUGUAGCGGUGAAAUGCGUAGAUAUCUGGAGGAACACCGGUGGCGAAGGCGGCAUCCUGGACCAAUAUUGACACUGAGGAGCGAAAGCCAGGGGAGCAAACGGG
RNAcentral lists this ribosomal RNA (253 nucleotides) under uncultured bacterium. RNAcentral describes it as "partial 16S ribosomal RNA". It matches the Rfam family "Bacterial small subunit ribosomal RNA", at positions 524 to 776 of the family's 1533-position model. The record is from RNAcentral.